GUGUUUUUUCUCUUUUAUCGUUCAGUACUUGCCAAGGCAGCUCAUCGGGAUCCCGGAGACCCGACGCAGUUCGAUCUCGUUGCCUCACUCAACAGCAACAAUAAUUGAGACAAUAGUUGGCUAACAAGUUUGAACAAGUUUGGUAUUAGUAGCGCUUGGCGAGAGCCAUUUCCCUUGGCAAUGCAGGGAUCUCCAGCGUAGCAGUGACCCGAGUUCUCCGCAGGAUCCCUUUUUGUAAUUUAUCAUUGAAAUAGUUUAUUUAACACCAGUAAGUCUGAAACACCUUCAUUCAAGCUAUUUUUUGUCUUCCAUUCUCGUCUUUGUACCCGUAUUGUAUUCAGUUGCUACAUCGCCAACCAUUCCAUGUAUUUUAUUUCAUACCAACUACUACUCCAUCAUGCAUCUCACUAUAAGCCUG
This 418-nucleotide small RNA is filed under the name Cryptococcus neoformans H99. RNAcentral describes it as "Cryptococcus neoformans var. grubii H99 hypothetical RNA". Lineage: Eukaryota; Fungi; Basidiomycota; Tremellomycetes; Tremellales; Cryptococcaceae. The record is from RNAcentral.